CUGUCCGAGUUGUAGAUGAGAAGAGUAGGCCAUCUGGGCUGCAUGGUGUCCAAGUACAAUAGGCCGUCAGUGGGACAUCAUAGAGGGUGACAAUCCCGUCCUUGACACCAAUGUACGAGUCCUUUACGAUGCCUAUCUCGGAGAGUCGAGCAGUUUGGGAUUUGCUGCUUAAACAUGGGAGGUAGAUUCCUUCCAAAGCUAAAUACAGGCAAGAGACCGAUAGAGAACAAGUACCGCAAGGGAAAGAUGAAAUAGAACUCUGUGAAGGGAGUCAAAAGACGUGAAAUUGUUGCGAGAGAAGCGAUUCAAGUCAGCGUAGCUGGACCCAUCAAGCCUCGCGCUUUGGACCAGCUUUGCCAGCGGUCUUGUCCCUAGAGACUUGACUAAGGUGCCCUGCCCGGUCUGACGGGCAGACCUCCCCUGGAGGCCAGUGGCAUGGCUGGUGGAAUGGCUUGCAAUCGACCCGUCUUGAAACACGGACCAAGGAGUCUAACAUGCAUGCGAGUAUAAGGGUGGCAAACCCGUAUGCGCAAAGAAAGUGAUAGCCUUUUAUGGCCGAGAAUGACCUGAUGACUAGACAAGCAAUAUUAUGUUCCUCGUACGGUCAUUGCCCAAGUCCCAUAUGGUUAGAUCCCAUGGACAUGGAGUUGGAGCGUGCAUGCUAGGACCCGAAAGAUGGUGAACUAUGCCUGGACAAAGCGAAGCCAAAGGAAACUCUGGUGGAGGCUUGUAGCGAUUCUGACGUGCAAAUCGAU
Molecule: ribosomal RNA, 755 nt
Filed under: Cantharellus luteolus
Lineage: Eukaryota; Fungi; Basidiomycota; Agaricomycetes; Cantharellales; Hydnaceae
Description: partial large subunit ribosomal RNA
Rfam family: Eukaryotic large subunit ribosomal RNA
Source: RNAcentral